Non-coding RNA from Corylus avellana, 1795 nucleotides. The record is from RefSeq and is a predicted model, not a curated record. Lineage: Eukaryota; Viridiplantae; Streptophyta; Magnoliopsida; Fagales; Betulaceae.
UUAGAUUUUGCUUUAUUUGUGAUUUAAUUGCCCAAGUGGGUUUGCUUUGGUAUGUUGUUUUGAUUUGGGUUUGUCUGUUUAUCUAUAAUUGGUGGUUGUUUUGUUUGAUUUCGAAAAUGGAUACGAUUUUUUGGUUGUUAUUUUUUGUUUUUCUUUGGGUGACCGAUUAUGCAUUAGAUGCUAUGUUAAGGGAAAAAUACCUAUUUGCUGGACUGUCCAUUUGAUAUCGGCAGAAAUGGAGGUCUUCAAGCUCCCUGUCCCAUUCACCUCUUAAAACUUAUCAUCAGGCUGUUAUUUUAACUACAAAGGAUUUUAUGGAAAAUACAAAUGUUCUUACCUUCAGCUGAAAUGUGAACUAGAAUAAGUUGAACUCUACCGAGGGUGUUACUCUUAUUCAUAAACCAUUCAUAUUGUGUCAUUAAUCAGGGUGAAGGAUGUUAAGGGGGGUCCAGCUUUACAUAAUAAAUGUCUAAAAAUAAUUUUAGAAAUAUUACCUAAGUGCACAAAACUCUAUAAUUUCAUAAUGUUUAGGAAAACUGGGAAAUCACUUCAGUGGGAAUCCUAAAAUAAAGGUCAAAUUUAACUCUUCAAUUGGUUAGUAUAAAAACUAGAUAAGUUUUAUAUAAUUUAGCUUAAAAAGCAUUAACUAUGUCUAAGAUCUCAAGACACAUGAUGCAUUUCAAAGAGAACUGUAUAAUCUGGGCCUCCAAACGUUUUGAUGCACCCCUUAAUUUGUGGUUCAACUUGGGAUCUGGGAGUAGUUCUUACUAUAACAUUUGUUUAGCAUAGUUACUGUGUCAUUUAUUUUGAUUUUUCUUUUAAGUGAUUGUAAUUGAUGCUUGGUCAACCUGCUUUCUUAUAUGCACAAACACUUGUCCACUCUACAUUGGAACACCUUCACUGUUUUCUUCAACAUGAAGGAGCACACUGUAUAUGUAAAAUAGAAGCCUUAUCUUCAUACAUUCUUGGAGACAGUUGCAGAGAUGUUUGAAGUUGUUACUGCAAGCCAAAGCAUUUAUGCAGAACAACUUCUUGAUAUACUCGAUCCAGAUGGGAAGUUUUACAGUGAAUCGUGCAUUUUUGCAGAUGGCAGUUACACUAAAGAUUUGACAGUUUUAAGUGUUGAUCUUGCAAAAGCUAGCUGCCAUAAUUGAUAAUUCUCCUCAGGUUGAUGGACUUGUGAUGUCAGAUUAUAUUGGGAUACCGACUUGGACUUAGUUGGAUAGUGCCUUCCUUAACUAUGAAGUUAGGAACUUCUUCAAAGAUGCAGAAAGAGAGAAAGAAAAGGAGAAGUGGAGAAGGAAGGGUAAAACUAAGGUUUUCCGGUUGCAAGUCAUUAAUAGGAUUCCUAUAAGGAGUUGGUUUGAUGAUCCAUCAGACUCGCACUAAUUUCUGUACUUCCCUUCUUAGAGACUCUGGUUGAUGCUGAUGAUGUCCGUCCGGUCAUUGCCAAGGGAUUCGGUAACAAGGAAUAAGAACCUUUUUUUCCUUCAUUAGCUUGAAUAUAGCAGCUUCUUGUCCCUCCAGUCUAUUUUAAAGAACAAAUUGGCUUCUAGUUUAGGUGCUCAAUACCACUUCUCUCGUUGAGCUCUUGAGAUUAUUAGCUAUACGAUGAACGUCUAUUGCUUUUCUAAUUGUUAGUUCAGCUCUCGGUGCUUCUCCCCUCCUUUUUCUCUUCUCAGCUGACAACUCUAUGGAGUGCUUUAAUUUGUCUAAUUUUGUUGUAAGGGAGUAUAGAGAUUUUCACUUAAAUAUUUAAAAUGUACAUGAGUUCAAGUUGCUAUUUUAUUUGUAA